Molecule: long non-coding RNA, 6064 nt
Filed under: Micromonas pusilla
Lineage: Eukaryota; Viridiplantae; Chlorophyta; Mamiellophyceae; Mamiellales; Mamiellaceae
Description: long non-coding RNA (MPUS_LNC000032)
Source: RNAcentral
CGAAGAUAAUAGCUACUAGCUACAGGUACUGUACACGUGUACAGCUGUACACGUACUGUAGCUAUGAUAGCUAGCUAGCUAGCUAGGGCAUUUGAUCAGCGCCUCCGGCGCUUCGGCUGUCAGUAGUUGGGAAAGGGGCGCAGCAGGGUAUUUAGUCUGAUAAAAUACGGAAGGAGGAGGUUUUGGAGGAGGAGGAGAGGGGAGGGGAGGGGAGGGGGGGGAGGGGGAGGAAGAGGAGGGGGGAGGGGGAGGGGGGGGAGGGGGAGGAAGAGGAGGGGGGAGGGGGAGGGGGGGGAGGGGAGAGAGGGAGGCGCGGCGUCGUUGUCGUUCGAGGACGAGUGCAGGUUAUGGGCCAGGUGCAGUUUCCGCGUACUUUCGUACUACGAAACUCACUUCAGACUGACAGGGGCACGUUUUUGCAUACGGGGCGGGGCGCCAAACGCUCAUUGGUUGAAAUUUUCGUCCCUUGGAAAAAUGGGAGAAGGUACACGUACGUGUACAGUACAGUACGAGUACACGCACGUUUACGUGGACACGUACUGUAAACCCUGCCUGCUGCUGUCUGGUAGAAAACUCUCCGGCUCCGAAGCAACCUGACCGGUGUGUGGGUUUCCCACCCUCGGGAGGGUGGUGUCCUUCAGUCCCCGGGCACGCACGAUGGACCCAGAACAGCCCCCUCCGGCGGGCUCGCAGCCCCCCCCCGUGUUCACAGCGUCCGGACGGUCCUUCCCGAGCACCGCGGCGGAGCACCCCGCGCCCGGGAUCCCGCUCCUGGAGAGGACCUUCGGAGGCACCGAGGAAGAGAUCGCGACGUUCAUGGAAUCCCUGGACGAGUUCACGCCGACGAUACCGGACGCGCUGACGAACCACUACUUGAAGAUGUGCGGCGUUCCGGAGCCGGACGUGAGGAUCACGCGGUUGAUCUCCCUCGCCGCGCAAAAGGUGCGCGCGUCGCGGCGUCUCGCGCGGUCGCGUCGCGACGCGCUCGAAUCGAACCGAACGCGCUCGCGCGAAUUCGCGCGUCCCCACGCCCCCCUCGCGCGUCAACCCCGCUCGCUCGCGCGCGCUCCGAGCCGCCGAGCCGAACGCCCAAACCGANNNNNNNNNNNNNNNNNNNNNNNNNNNNNNNNNNNNNNNNNNNNNNNNNNNNNNNNNNNNNNNNNNNNNNNNNNNNNNNNNNNNNNNNNNNNNNNNNNNNUCGCCGACGCGCGACGGCGGCGACGGAGACGGAGGCGAUGGACGCGGCGACGGCGGCGAAGGGACCGCGAGCAAGCGCCCGCGGCGGUCGCGAAGGUGAGCCGCGCCCGCGCGCUUCGAGACGAGAUCGAUCGACUGGUCGAGAUCGAAGACGGAGGACGAGAUUUGAUUUGACGCGGUCGUUCAGCUCGCAACUCAAGUACUUCCGACGAAACGCAACGUCUUCGCUCGUCGACGAACCCGCAGAAAGCCACACCGCUCGCGCGGAUCGGAAAUGAUCGUUUCGAGGGUGCCGAGCGUUGCGCGACCGUCGCACCGCGCGUUCGCUCGCGCGGUUCGACACGACGCGUCUGGCUCACCCGCUGGCUUUUUUCUGUUGAAACUGAAUCGCGAACACGGGUAUGUACCCGCCGACGAGGACCAUCCCGGCGGCGACCGCGCCGAAGAUGAGGUGCUUGCCUUUCGUCUGCGCGCGAAGAGGGGGGGGAGGGGGGGGGGACGCGGGGGAGGACGAGUCAGCCGCGUCCGUCGCGGCUGCGCGCGAGGAGGGGUCCGAAAAACGGCGACGACGACGACGACGACGACGCGUCCGAUCCGAGCGACGCGUCGCGGGGGAUGGACGCACCGCGUGGACGUCGUACAUCUUCUCCGCGUGAAUGUACGCCUGCGGAGCGCGCGAGGGAGGUCGGGAGCGGGAGCGGCGGGGGAGGGGGGGAAGGGAUCGUCAGAGGUGCGUCGCGAGGCGCGCGCGCGGGGGACGAGGCCGCCCCGGGGCCAACCCUAAAAACGACGACGACGACGACAACGACGACGCGCGCGCGCGGACGCGACGGGACGAGACGCACGGGUUCGUCCGCGCCGCCGCGCUUGGGCGCGGAGGUUUGAAAGGCGCGAGCGGGCGCGGCGCCUGCGCGCUGCGUCAGCGCGCGACGCGCGACCUGGGCGAGAGCGCUGGACGACAUCUCGCGCGCGGAAAUUGCGCCCCUUCGCGCGCGAUUUCCUGGCAUGAACGCCACGAGCCCUACGUGUACACGUACUGUACGUGUAAAGUCUGUACAACGUACGAGUACGUGUACAAAUAGUAAUAGAAUACUUUCGUAUGAGCCAGCCGAAUGAUUUACGUGUACACGAGUAAUCACGAGUACACGUACGUGUACACGUACACGUUACUGUUAGACUGUUUAAUUGUGCGUGUACAGUAGGGCUACGUGUACGUGUACAACGUUAGCUCGCUUCUAGAUCACAUGUUUUACCCGGAUGGGUUAGAGCUCAGUCUUUUUGUAAUCAGAUCCACACACGUGUACAACGUUGUACACGUACGAUCUGUCGGCUUUGAAAUUUGAAAGAGCGAACGGGCGAAACGAUCGGUCUGUCGAUGCCGGUGACACGUAACGUUGUACGUGUACUACACACUGUACUACACAGUGACUUUCAAAGUACUGUACACGUCCGUGUAGUUGUAGUGUGCAGGAGGUCAAACCCGUCAAACCUGGGUCAAUCUCAGUGUCAAUCGCAAUCUCCCGAGCAGAAAUUAAAAUUGUGCCGAGGGACGAGAAUUCAAGUUGAGCGCGGCUCCCAGAUCCCUCUUCUUCCGUCAAAACUCACGCGCGCUCGCCGCAUCCCGCAGCGCAUCCGACCUCGAUCAUGAGUCAGCUCGCGGCGUACAAAAAGAUGAAAGUCCAGGUGCGUCCUCCAGCGCGUCCUCGCUCCCGCGCUCUGCUGUUCCCCGCUCAACGAGGAAGAAAUUAUUAAAAUCCUCCGCUCACGCGCGCUCGAAUUCCCGCGCGAUCCGUCGCGAUCUCACUCUCGCUUCGCCGUUCGGUUCCCAGGAGCUCCGCGACGCGUGCGAGGAGAAAGGCCUGGACGCGACCGGACUGAAGGCUGUCCUCCUCGAGCGCCUGGAAAAGUCCCUCGCGAGCGACGCCGACGCCGACGCCGACGCCGCCGGCGGCGACGACGACGCGCCCGCGGAGAACGACGACGAUCUCGAAGACGUCCCCGACGACGACGCGCCCGCCGCGGCCGCGACCGCCGGGGACGACGAUCUCGUCGACCCGGACGACGCCCCCGCGACGGAGAACCCCGCGUCCGCCGGCGCGCCCGCGACGAACGCCGGCGCGAACGACGCCGCAGGGGUGUCGCUCGAGCCGAAAACGAAGGUGGCGCAGACGCCGGAGCGGCUCGCGGCGACGGAGGCGGCGCGCGCCGCGCUCGUCGCCGCGAUCGAGGAGGACAUCGAGAAGCGUAAGCAUCGCGCGGAGCGCUUUGGGAUGCCGUUCGUCCUGAGCGAGCUCGACGAGACGCGUCUGCGGUGCGCGAAGGAGGGGAAACCGAUGCCGGGCAGCGCCGAGGAGGCGGCCACGAGACGCGAGGCAAAGGCACGGGGCCGCGCCGAGCGAAAGCAGAAGAAACGGGAGAGCGGAGGUCGGGGUCAGGGUCAGGGUCAGGGUCAGGGUCAGGGCGGCGCGGGGGCCGAAGCGAAAGCGAAAGCGAAAGGCGAUGCGUGCCGCAACUGCGGAAAGAAGGGUCACUGGGCGAGAGACUGCUGGGCCCCCGGCGGCGGCAAAGAGGGCCAGGGCGGCGGCAGAGGCGGCGAGAAGAGAUCGAAGCCGGAAACCGCCCCCGACCGCGCGACGGGCGACGACGCGGAGCGAAAGAAAGCCCGCGCCGAACGCUUCGGCACCGGCGAGACGCUCAGGGCGUUGGACCCGGAGUUUGAGGCCAAGCUCGCCGCGCGCGCGGCGCGAUUCGCGGAGGACGCGCCGUGACGCGAGCGAGGCGAGGCGUCUCGACGAGCGGGGUCGCGGUCGAUCGGUCGGUCGGUCGCGAUCCGUCCGGCGAGGGCGGGGCGAGGGCGAGGCGGACGAGCGAGCGCUGCGCCGAGCGCGCGUUGUGAAUAGUAGGGCUAUCGUCGUCGUCGCGAGCGCGCGGCGUCUUCACCGGCUCGUUCGGCGGCGUGACCAGAAGGUGAAAAACCACCUUCUGGCCUGCGUACGUGUACGUGUACUGUGCGUGUAGUCCGGACAAAAAACCGACCCAAAUUACAGCGCGAAAGGCAGCAGUUGAGCACUCCGUGUAGAGUCGCGAUGCAGUGCAUCGGACUGCAGUUUUCCAGGUUUCUUUUCCGUCGCGCGCGCUUCUCAGUACACGUACACUAGUUACAGUACACGUAGUAGGUUUGAUUACACAAAAACUGAGCACCACACGUACUGUACGUUUACGUGUAUUUGCUCACUGCGUGAGAGGGUUUCCCGUAGAGAAGUUUGCUCGCACUAGCUAGGUCACAUGUUUUGCCCGGAUGGGUUAGAGCUCAGUAUAUCAAACCUACAACGUAGAGGAAGUACGUACGGAAGUUCAACUACUACAUGUACUGUAGGGCUACGAAUGAAGGUACGAAGGUUGUUGUGUAUCAUAAGUUGUUUUACUGUACUGUAUGUGUACGAAAGUAUAGAAUCUAUCUUCGAAGGUACACGUGCGUACGUGUACGUAGUACGAAAAUACGUACUUUUGUAGUGUACUUCCGGAAGUACGGAAAUAAAUAGAAUACGUUGUACGAAAGUACUUUCGAAACUAACAACUUAAUACCUUCGUACUUUCGUACUUUCGUACGAAAGUACUUUCGAAAAUAGAUAGUUUGAAAGGUACGAAAGUACUUUCGUACUUUCGUACGUUUUUAGUACUCGUACGGUACUACGGAGGUACGAAAGUACUACGAAAAUAUCUUCGUACAACGUUACACGUACGUGUACUGUACGAGUCGUGUACCUUCGUACGAAAGUACUAAAGUUGUACGAAAGUACAAAAGUACAAGUGUUGUACGUGUACACGUACAGCUGUACACUUAUUCUAUUCGUACGUGUACUGUGGCCUUGCACGUGUACAGUGUACAGCUGUACACGUAACUUGUACACGUACUGUACACAAUGAUACGUGAAUGUUCACGUACGUAGCCUUAAUAAUACCGUUGUACACGUACUGUACACAUACUGUACACGUACACGUACGUGUACUCCUGCUGAGUGCCUGCGUGCGCUUCUCCUGUCCAGUGUCGUCCGCGUGUCACUUACCGCCGGCGCAUGACGUCCGCGCCGGGGAGGGCGUCGACGCGAAUGCAGUCGCCCGCGCGCGCGAUAGCGCGCGCGCUGCGGUCCCGCGCGCGCGCGACCGCGACGCCGCGCGACGCCGCGCCGCCGGAUCCGCCCUCGACCGCGCGCGCGCGUCGCGUCUGGACCCCGCGCGCGCCGCUCGAGCCGGUCGCGUCCGCGUACGUGCACCUCCCGUUCUGCCGCCGGCGAUGUUACUACUGCGAUUUCGCCGUGAGCGUCGUCGGGGACGCGCACGAAACCUCGGACGCGGUGACGCGAGGGAUGGAGACGUACGUCGAGACGCUUUCGCGGGAGAUCGCGAACACGCCGAGCGCGCCGUCGUCGCGCGGUCGUCGUCGUCAUCACCCGCCGCUGAGGACAAUCUUCUUCGGCGGCGGGACGCCGUCGCUGCUCCCGCCCGCGCUGCUUCGCCGCGUGCUCGACGCGCUGAGAGCGCGGUUCGGGAUCGACGCGGACGCGGAGAUCUCCAUGGAGGUGCGCGCCCGCCGUCCGCGCUCCUUGUCGCGCGCGACGACCCGACCUCGAUUUCUCGGUUUCGUUCGGCGGCACCGCUGUCCGCGCGCGCGCGAUCGCGUCGUGUCGUAUUCGCGCGUAAUUUAAUAACGGCCCGCCCGCGGCGACUGCGCAGAUGGACCCGGGAACGUUCGACGCGGCAAAACUCCGGUCGUACGCCGAACUCGGAGUGAACCGCGUGAGCCUGGGCGUGCAGUCGUUCGACGACGCCGUGCUUCGCGCCGCGGGAAGAGCGCACACGGCGGCGG